AGGAUGCCAACACGAAAUUCUUGGCUUUGGAAUGGGGUGGGUGGGGGGUUGGGUUUGGUUGGAGCUGGUCGCCUUAUGGCUUUGAACUCCUUCCAAGUGCUGGGAUCAUAGGCGUGCACCGCCACACCAGGCUACUACAGUACUAAACAUUUUUAGGCUAAUUCAUCGGCACAAGAUAGACUCACCGUCUAUGUUGCACUAAUUUGAAACUGUCUUUCAGCAACACUCCAAGGGCUUACCUGUUAAUCACAGUAGAUACCCGCCCUAACAACCUUCAGAUCAAGAAAAUAGAAAGUUCAGACAAGAAAAUGGAGGUGUUGGUUUUUCAGGGUUCUCUUCGGGAGUUUGAAAGAUACUGGAGAAAAAACUACGGCGAAUAUUUUUCUCAAACAAACGACGGGAAGCCACUGUCAUUUUGAUUUAUUAUCAUCAUCAUUAUUAUUAUUAUUGUUAUAUUAUUAUUAUUAUUACCAGUGUAUUCAUUGGCUGGUGUGCGCCCAUGAGGGCAAAGCAAAGCCAGGUGCGUAUCCUCAGACUUGGAAGACCCGAGGGAAACAAAGCUUCAGCUCCACACAUCAUGACAGAAGAAUUGAAGAUGCUGAAGAGAUGUGUAGCUGCAAGAGUUCAGGGCUAGAUUCUCCUCCUGGUGGAGCUUCAUCCUUGCCGCUUUGAUGGCAGCUGCCUAGAGAGACGGCCUGUCAGCUGACCAGUGAAGAUUCUGAGCGGCAGGUUAGCUAAAUGAUCUUGAUGGUUUCCCAGCCUCCGACACCACAACCGAGGGCUUGAGGAAACGCUGCAUAAAGGACGGGUUUCGUAGGCUGGAUACGUGCCAUCCGUUAUUGGAACUGUCGCAGCUGUGGCAUCUCCUUUGUCAUCAUUGUACAGAGAGAAAAAACAUGCUUUGGAGAAUGGGAGGUGAGUUGGCCAAGGUAAUAUGGUUCCUAAGAUACCAGCUGAAGAGUGAACACUGGUUAUCCAUCUAUCUCUCUCUCAAAAAAAAAAAAUCCUAUUAGACUGAUGAGAUGGCCUCGACAAAUGCAUCCUGGCACGCGACAUAUGCAUACAAACAAAAUAAAUUUAAAUUUAAGAAUGACUGAGCAUCUUGAUGAUAAAUCUCCUCAAGGAGUUGGAGUCCAGGUGCAUGCUUCUUACUCCAGCCCUUGGGAGCCUGGUGUCAGCAUCUGUUUAGGCCACCUUGGCCUGUGUAGCAAGAUCUGUCUAAAAGCCAAACAGAAAACCCACACAAGAAACAGCCUUAGGUGUGGUGUUGCAUUCCUGUAAUCCGAGUGUUUAGGGGACCUAUCUGGACCCAGUGCUAUAGGAGAUGCAAAAGAUACUAAAGCCACACAGCCCAUGUUUAAUAUACUAUAUUAAAUAUUACAACAACCAUUGUGAUUGCAAGCUAUUCAGCAAAAACUUACAGGGCUUUACUUUAAGUUAAAUUUUAUUUGAAAGUUUGUCAGAACGAGGAAGCAAAUGUUAGCACUCUUGUGUUUGAAGGCAGUUUGGCUGUUUAAGACUGUGUUCAGAUGUCUGAUUUUCAGAUCAGGUAGUACUGGUUUCAAACAUGAACUGGGAAGCCUUUCCUGAGGUAUUUGUGAAAAUUUGCCACUAACCCCUCUCUAAAUGUCUGGUAGAAUUCAGUGGUGAAACCAUCUGGACCUACUGUUUUCUUUGCAGGAAGGUUCCUUUUUCUUAAUCACUAAUUCAGUCUACAGUAGUGGCGCAUGCAGUUUGCAAGAGACUGCCAAACUGUUUCUCAGAGCGAAUAACCCACUUUGCCUUGCUGCACCAUAUGUGAUUUGUCUAUCAGCGUUUCAGAAUGUCGCUAUUUUUUUUUAUUUUAGCCAUUCUGAUGUAUAGAAAUAUCCCACUAUAAUUUAAAAACAUUUAUUAUUAUUAUUAUUAUUGCAUGUUUGUAUGUGUGUGUAUACAUGCAAUUGGGUAACACCUGUGUGGAGGUCAGAGACAACUCAGGGAUGGGUUCUCUCCUUCCACCGUGUGGGGCCUGUGGAUUAAACUUAAGUCAUCAGGGUUGGUGGUAACAAGUCCCUUCACCAGCUCAGCCAUCUUCCCCUUCCCUCGCUGUAGCUUUAAUUUACUUUUCCCCAACUACUGAUAAGGGCUGAACUCUUUUCAAUAUCUGCUUGUGCGUGCAUAUUCUUUUUAGUGGGAUGUCUUUUUCUCAGAUUCUGAUUGGGUUUGAUUUGUAUUCUUGAUAUAUUCCAGAUACACUUCUCUUCUGUAAUAUGUGGUUUACAAAUAUUUUCUCCUGAUCUGUAACUUGUUUUUCUGACUUCACAACAUUUUCUACAGAGUAGCAUCUCAGCUUUGAUGAAGUACAAUUGAUAUGUUUUUUUUUUCCUUUAAUGAAUUAACUUUGGAAGUCUUUGUCUCUCCCACCUUAGAUCUAAAACAUUUCUCUCAUUUUAUUCAUAAAUGUUUAACAUGUUGUGUUUACAUCCAGGCUACAGUUUGAGUUAGGUUUCGCUAAGGUUGGUUUACAGGGCUUGGAGCCAAUCUCCGCUGGGAGAGGAGGAGAUGGCUUAGAGGCUAACGGUGCCUUAAAGCCUGGCAUCCUGAUCCACACCCCCAAUCCGUAGAAGAAGGAAAGAGCUGAUCUGAAAGCUGCCCUCUGACCUCCAUGCGUCUGCAUGCACACACACUAAAAUAGAAAAGAAGAAAAAGCAAAUUACUCUCCCACAGCGCUGGAGGAUAGGAACGCUAAGAACCUGGUAUUGGCCGAUGCAGUGCCUGGUGAGAGGCAGUUCACAGAUGGGUAAGUGCGGAUUCUCAGGUGUCCUCACAGAGCAGACGGCCUCUGUGCUAAGGACUGAAGUCAGGAAGGAAAUGGACCAUCCAGGCAAGCACUCCACCACUGAGCUACAUCCCAAUCAAGCAUGAGCCUUCACAAAGUUAUCUUGAUUCCUGUAUUUAUUUUUGUGUAUGUAUCUACCUGCGUGCCAUGGCAUAGCUGUGGAGAUCAGAGGACGCUUGUGGAAGUCAGUUCUCUCCUUCCAUCAUGAGAGCUCCAGGGAUGAAGUUCAUCAGACUUGUUAGCAAGCACCUGUAACCUUUACCUACUGAGCUAUUCUGCCAAUUGAGACAUUUUUAUGUGGGAGCCCACAGAAGUGGGUCCGGUCCACCUUGACCAAAGGUCAGAGAGUUUAGGCCCUAUUCUUGCUAAAGUUUGACCAAGGGAGUGGCUGUCUACAGGAUGCUUGGUCUAAGGUGUGGUCGCUGCACGUCCUGCCUGAACAACAGAAUGUUUAACUCGAGAUUUAGUUGCUUGAUGCUUCAGGUAUUGAACAAGUAAUUGCUCUGUUUGUGCUUUGUGUCAGUUCAAGCAGUCUUUUGUCUUCUCUCCCCCGCCCUUUGGAUUGGUGUAUAUAAGUCCUAUGGAAAAUAAACGCAAGUGAAUUCAGUGUUCACUGGA
This is a long non-coding RNA of Alexandromys fortis (reed vole), 3436 nucleotides long. RefSeq lists it as uncharacterized. The record is from RefSeq and is a predicted model, not a curated record. The transcript is spliced from 3 exons. Lineage: Eukaryota; Metazoa; Chordata; Mammalia; Rodentia; Cricetidae.